GACGAACGCUGGCGGCGUGCUUAACACAUGCAAGUCGAACGAUGAAGCCGGAGCUUGCUCUGGUGAAUUGGUGGCGAACGGGUGAGUAACACGUGAGUAACCUGCCCUUGACUCUGGGAUAACUGCUAGAAAUGGUAGCUAAUACCGGAUACGACCCUCGGCGGCAUCGCCAGGGGGUGGAAAGAAUUUCGGUCAAGGAUGGACUCGCGGCCUAUCAGCUAGUUGGUGAGGGAACGGCUCACCAAGGCGACGACGGGUAGCCGGCCUGAGAGGGUGACCGGCCACACUGGGACUGAGACACGGCCCAGACUCCUACGGGAGGCAGCAGUGGGGAAUAUUGCACAAUGGGCGCAAGCCUGAUGCAGCAACGCCGCGUGAGGGAUGACGGCCUUCGGGUUGUAAACCUCUUUUAGUAGGGAAGAAGCGAAAGUGACGGUACCUGCAGAAAAAGCACCGGCUAACUACGUGCCAGCAGCCGCCGUAA
This 484-nucleotide ribosomal RNA is filed under the name uncultured bacterium. RNAcentral describes it as "partial 16S ribosomal RNA". It matches the Rfam family "Bacterial small subunit ribosomal RNA", at positions 28 to 523 of the family's 1533-position model. The record is from RNAcentral.